CCGCGUUGGUGAAGUCUUCGGGUUGUAAAGCACUUUCAGCGAGGAGGAAAGGUAGGUAGUUAAUAACUGCUUGCUGUGACGUUACUCGCUGAAGAAGCACCGGCUAACUUCGUGCCAGCAGCCGCGGUAAUACGAGGGGUGCAAGCGUUAAUCGGAAUUACUGGGCGUAAAGCGUACGCAGGCGGUUUGUUAAGCAAGAUGUGAAAGCCCCGGGCUCAACCUGGGAAUUGCAUUUUGAACUGGCAAACUAGAGUCUUGUAGAGGGGGGUAGAAUUUCAGGUGUAGCGGUGAAAUGCGUAGAGAUCUGAAGGAAUACCGGUGGCGAAGGCGGCCCCCUGGACAAAGACUGACGCUCAGGUACGAAAGCGUGGGGAGCAAACAGGAUUAGAUACCCUGGUAGUCCACGCCGUAAACGAUGUCUACUCGGAAUUUGGUGUCUUGAACACUGGGUUCCCAAGCUAACGCAUUAAGUAGACCGCCUGGGGAGUACGGCCGCAAGGUUAAAACUCAAAUGAAUUGACGGGGGCCCGCACAAGCGGUGGAGCAUGUGGUUUAAUUCGAUGCAACGCGAAGAACCUUACCUACUCUUGACAUCCAUAGAACUCGCUAGAGAUAGCUUGGUGCCUUCGGGAACUAUGAGACAGGUGCUGCAUGGCUGUCGUCAGCUCGUGUUGUGAAAUGUUGGGUUAAGUCCCGCAACGAGCGCAACCCUUAUCCUUAUUUGCCAGCACGUAAUGGUGGGAACUUUAGGGAGACUGCCGGUGAUAAACCGGAGGAAGGUGGGGGACGACGUCAAGUCAUCAUGGCCCUUACGAGUAGGGCUACACACGUGCU
Molecule: ribosomal RNA, 834 nt
Filed under: uncultured bacterium
Lineage: Bacteria
Description: bacterial SSU rRNA
Rfam family: Bacterial small subunit ribosomal RNA
Source: RNAcentral